GAUUUCCUGCAGCAACAGUUA
RNAcentral lists this unclassified non-coding RNA (21 nucleotides) under Mus musculus (house mouse). Its description in RNAcentral is "oocyte_clustered_small_RNA880". Lineage: Eukaryota; Metazoa; Chordata; Mammalia; Rodentia; Muridae. The record is from RNAcentral.